UCGCUUACAGAUGGGCCCGCGGUGCAUUAGCUAGUUGGUAGGGUAAUGGCCUACCAAGGCAACGAUGCAUAGCCGACCUGAGAGGGUGAUCGGCCACACUGGGACUGAGACACGGCCCAGACUCCUACGGGAGGCAGCAGUAGGGAAUCUUCCGCAAUGGACGAAAGUCUGACGGAGCAACGCCGCGUGUAUGAAGAAGGUUUUCGGAUCGUAAAGUACUGUUGUUAGAGAAGAACAAGGAUAAGAGUAACUGCUUGUCCCUUGACGGUAUCUAACCAGAAAGCCACGGCUAACUACGUGCCAGCAGCCGCGGUAAUACGUAGGUGGCAAGCGUUGUCCGGAUUUAUUG
Molecule: ribosomal RNA, 349 nt
Filed under: Listeria monocytogenes
Lineage: Bacteria; Bacillati; Bacillota; Bacilli; Caryophanales; Listeriaceae
Description: bacterial SSU rRNA
Rfam family: Bacterial small subunit ribosomal RNA
Source: RNAcentral